UACGUAGGGCGCGAGCGUUGUCCGGAAUUAUCGGGCGUAAAGAGCUCGUAGGCGGCCUGUCGCGUCGGUUGUGAAAGCCCGGGGCUCAACCCCGGGUCUGCAGUCGAUACGGGCAGGCUAGAGUUCGGUAGGGGAGAUCGGAAUUCCUGGUGUAGCGGUGAAAUGCGCAGAUAUCAGGAGGAACACCGGUGGCGAAGGCGGAUCUCUGGGCCGAUACUGACACUGAGGCGCGAAAGCGUGGGGAGCGAACAGG
RNAcentral lists this ribosomal RNA (253 nucleotides) under uncultured bacterium. RNAcentral's name for it is "partial 16S ribosomal RNA". It matches the Rfam family "Bacterial small subunit ribosomal RNA", at positions 524 to 776 of the family's 1533-position model. The record is from RNAcentral.